RNAcentral lists this ribosomal RNA (405 nucleotides) under uncultured bacterium. Its description in RNAcentral is "bacterial SSU rRNA". It matches the Rfam family "Bacterial small subunit ribosomal RNA", at positions 354 to 777 of the family's 1533-position model. The record is from RNAcentral.
GUGGGGAAUUUUGCGCAAUGGGGGAAACCCUGACGCAGCAACGCCGCGUGCGGGAUGACGGCCCUCGGGUUGUAAACCGCUUUCAGCAGGGAAGACCAUGACGGUACCUGCAGAAGAAGCUCCGGCUAACUACGUGCCAGCAGCCGCGGUAAUACGUAGGGAGCGAGCGUUAUCCGGAUUCAUUGGGCGUAAAGCGCGCGUAGGCGGCUGCCUAAGCGGAACCUCUAAUCCCGGGGCUCAACCCCGGGCCGGGUUCCGAACUGGGCGGCUCGAGUGCGGUAGAGGAGAGCGGAAUUCCCGGUGUAGCGGUGGAAUGCGCAGAUAUCGGGAAGAACACCGAUGGCGAAGGCAGCUCUCUGGGCCGGCACUGACGCUGAGGCGCGAAAGCUGGGGGAGCGAACAGGA